Molecule: transfer RNA, 80 nt
Filed under: Blumeria hordei DH14
Lineage: Eukaryota; Fungi; Ascomycota; Leotiomycetes; Helotiales; Erysiphaceae
Also listed under: 1 other name
Description: tRNA-Arg for anticodon UCU
Rfam family: tRNA
About the family: Transfer RNA (tRNA) molecules are approximately 80 nucleotides in length.
Source: Rfam by way of RNAcentral
GUCGCAUUGGCGCAAUGGUAGCGCGCAAGACUUCUAGCCACGAGAUCUUGAGGCUGUGGGUUCGAGCCCCACAUGCGAUG